GAUGAAGAACGCAGCGAAAUGCGAUAAGUAAUGUGAAUUGCAGAAUUCAGUGAAUCAUCGAAUCUUUGAGCGCACAUUGCGCCCGCCAGUAUUCUGGCGGGCAUGCCUGUUCGAGCGUCAUUUCAACCAUCAAGCCCCCGGGCUUGUGUUGGGGACCUGCGGCUGCCGCAGGCCCUGAAAAGCAGUGGCGGGCUCGCUGUCACACCGAGCGUAGUAGAUUUUAUCUCGCUCUGGGCGUGCUGCGGGUUCCGGCCGUUAAACCACCCUUUUAACCCAAGGUUGACCUCGGAUCAGGUAGGAAGACCCGCUGAACUUAAGCAUAUCAAUAAGCGGAGGA
RNAcentral lists this unclassified non-coding RNA (337 nucleotides) under soil metagenome. RNAcentral's name for it is "partial contains 5.8S ribosomal RNA, internal transcribed spacer 2, and large subunit ribosomal RNA". The stretch from base 1 to 120 matches the Rfam family "5.8S ribosomal RNA", at positions 35 to 154 of the family's 154-position model. The record is from RNAcentral.